This 72-nucleotide transfer RNA is filed under the name Dipodomys ordii (Ord's kangaroo rat). It matches the Rfam family "tRNA". From Rfam's summary of the family: Transfer RNA (tRNA) molecules are approximately 80 nucleotides in length. Their secondary structure includes four short double-helical elements and three loops (D, anti-codon, and T loops). Lineage: Eukaryota; Metazoa; Chordata; Mammalia; Rodentia; Heteromyidae. The record is from Rfam by way of RNAcentral.
GUGAAGAUGGCUCAGUGGUAGAGUGCUUGCCUUGAAUGCAUGAGGUCCUGGGUUCGAUUCCCCAGCACCACA